AUUGAACGCUGGCGGCAGGCCUAACACAUGCAAGUCGAACGGUAACAGGAAGCAGCUUGCUGCUUUGCUGACGAGUGGCGGACGGGUGAGUAAUGUCUGGGAAACUGCCUGAUGGAGGGGGAUAACUACUGGAAACGGUAGCUAAUACCGCAUAACGUCGCAAGACCAAAGAGGGGGACCUUCGGGCCUCUUGCCAUCGGAUGUGCCCAGAUGGGAUUAGCUAGUAGGUGGGGUAAAGGCUCACCUAGGCGACGAUCCCUAGCUGGUCUGAGAGGAUGACCAGCCACACUGGAACUGAGACACGGUCCAGACUCCUACGGGAGGCAGCAGUGGGGAAUAUUGCACAAUGGGCGCAAGCCUGAUGCAGCCAUGCCGCGUGUAUGAAGAAGGCCUUCGGGUUGUAAAGUACUUUCAGCGGGGAGGAAGGGAGGAAAGUUAAUACCUUGGCUCAUUGACGUUACCCGCAGAAGAAGCACCGGCUAACUCCGUG
Molecule: ribosomal RNA, 490 nt
Filed under: uncultured bacterium
Lineage: Bacteria
Description: partial 16S ribosomal RNA
Rfam family: Bacterial small subunit ribosomal RNA
Source: RNAcentral